GGCCACACCCACGGCAUAUGGAGAUUCCCAGGCUAGGGGUCCAAUCGGAGCUGUAGCCGACGGCCUACACACAACCACAGCAACGCCAGAUCCGAGCUGCGUCUGUGACCUACACCACAGUUCACAGCAACGCCAGAUCCUUAAUCCACCGAGCAAGGCCAGGGAUCGAACCCACAACCUCAUGGUUCCUAAUCAGAUUCGUUAACCACUGAGCCACGAUGGGAACUCCCUCUUUUUUUUUUUUUUAAAGGUAUUACUGCUUACAGGAGUUUGUAGUUUUAAUUUGGUCAAAUUUAAUCCAUUGUCUUUAUUAUUUGGUUGGACUUUCUGUCGCCUGUUUAGAGAACUGUUCCUCAUUCCAAGGUCAUGUUUUCCUGUAUCAUCUUUGUAAAUAUAGUUUUAACUUUCAUAUUUGAGUCUUUAAAUCCAUAUAGAAUCAAUUUUUUCAGCUAUGAUGGGCAUGAGGGAUUCAAUUUCAUUAUUCUUCCUUAUAAAGAGCCAAUGGUAAGUAUACUACUUAUCAAAAACUCUAUGCCUUAUUUCACUGAUCUACAAUGCUAGGUCUGUAAGGAAUCAAAUUCCUGUUUCUGUGCUAUCUAUUCUGUACUAUAGGUCUAUCCUGCACCAAGAUAACACUGUAUUAAUUACUAUAAAUUUAUAAUAACUUUUGAUAUAAGUAAGGGCAAUCCUUCCACCCCAUUCUUCUUCUUUAGAAAUGUCAUGGCUUUUCUUGGUCCACUGUCUUUUCAUAUAAACUUGAGAAUCAGCUUGUCAGGUUCAAUAACAAAAAACAAUAACAAAAACCCUACUCGUAUUUUAUUUGGAAUGGUAGUGAAUUUAUGAAAACUGGUAUUAUGAUACUGGGUACUCUUAUCCAUAAAGUGUGUUAUCUCCCUAUUUAUCUCUCUUUCAACAAGAUUUUAAACUUUUUUCCAUCAAAGUCUUGCAUAGUCUCUGCUAAUGCCUAAAUAGUUUAUAUUUCUACAGUACUAUAUAGGUCGAGUUUUUUUAUAAUUACAUAUUCAAGGAGUUAUAAUUAGGAUUAAAUAAUAUUUAUAAAGUACCUAAGAAAGUGGCUACUACUAUAUGUUGUUUAUUGAAUAAAACCAAAUAAAUCACAUAUUCCAUUUAUCUCUGGUGUGUUAUUUUUAGAAUAAUUUUGACUAGCUAUUAAAAGAAUGGUGUUGAGAUUUUUAGUGUUUGUGUGAGAUUCACAUAUAAAUUUGGGAACAACUGAGAUAUUUACCACAUGGAAUUAUCUUUGAGAUAAUUCCAGGAACCCCAUGCCUUUGUAUUUACUCAAUUAUUACUUUAUUUCCCUUGGUGACAUGCCGUAGUUUUUUUCUACAUUUCUUAAGUUUGUUCUUAGCUGUGGGCCUUCUAAAAGUUGCCAUAAUUAUUGAGAUUUUUUAAAUAUUUAUAAAAUAUGAACAUCAAUUUAUCAUUUUAAUUACAUGAAUAUCCACUCACUGUAAAAGAAAAAAAUCCUUUUCAACAAACAAGUGUUUCCAGUAAAUGUUUCCUACCCCUCAAUUCCUUUAAUUAUUGGAUAAGGUGAAUAUUUUUUGUCAUCUUCAUUCCUCCAUGAUAAAAUGACUGCACGUAGUCCUAUUCUAUUUUGCUUUGUUUUUAAAGGUGAGUUAUCUUGGACUUCUCAUUGUGGCUCAGCAGAAACAAACCCGACUCAUAUCCAUGAGGAUGUGGUUUGAUCCUUGGUCUUGCUCAGUGGGUUAAGUAAGGAUCUGGUGUUGCUGUGAGCUGUGAUGUAGGUUGCAGACGUGGCUCAGAUCCUGCACUGUUGUGGCUGUGGGGGUAGGCUGGCAACUGCAGCUCCUAUUCAACCCCUAGCCUGGGAACUUUCAUAUGCAGCCAGUAUGCCCCUAAAAAUAAAUAAAUAAAUAAAUACGAGCUGUCUUUUUCUUCCUGGCUUUUCAGCUCUCACUAGUUUGAAGAGUCUUUUAAAAAUGAUGAUUCUCUACAUCUUCUAUUUUGUUCAGAAUUAUAUGGAAAAUAUACUGAUUUUUGAGUAUUUGGGCCAUCUGAAUAUCCUUAAGUGAUAAUCACUACCAUGACUGCUGUGUUUAAAAACCUCACGAUAAAGGGAUAAGGGAAGAAGCUGGAAGUCUUGGCAGUAAUCCUGGUGGGAAAGGAAGGUUUCUAACCAGGUUGAUAGUAAUAAAAGUGGUAAGAAGUAGCUGAAUUUUGGAUAUAUUUUGAAGGUAGUGCCAGUUAAGACUUCCUGAUGGAUUAGGAGUGACUCUAAAACCAGGAAGAAAAUAAUCAGCAACUAAGGUGGGAGAGGCCAAAGCAGGUUUGGAUGGGCGAAUCAAGAAUUUUGACUACCACUGAGUUUUUGAAGGAUGUAUAAUUUUUACUUUUCUGAGUUUUUUUGUUUGUUUGUUUGUUUAAGAGUCUAGUCCUGUUUUUGGCAGUUUCUCUUUGUGGAUACAAGUCACACCACAUUUCACCUUCUAAAACACACAAAAGUCCGUGCUGCUGCAUCUGAAGUAUUAAGAGCCCAGGCAGUCACCAAACCAUCUCUACAAAGCCCCAAGACUCCACAGAACACAAUCUGAAAACCGAAGGUAUAAGGGAGGAGCUCUGUAUUUAUUGAUUUCACACAGGUGUUCGGGUCUUCUAGUGGACCCGGCUCUGCAAGCCCCUAGUUGAACUGGGGAGCACCAACAAGUGCACCAGCAUUUACUGUAUGAUCACAGAAGCCAGGGUCUAAAGCAAUCAAACAGUCUUAGGCUCCCUACCAUUCAACAGGGUCGUGGAAAUUAUGUUUUCUAAAGACAUGGCAGGGAAUCUACAAACAAGUUUACAAAUGUUUCUGUUCCGUUCUUACCAAAAGGCUUUCUAAGAAAAGCAUCAAAAGUUCUGCAGCUUUUGAAAAGGUUAGACUAGAUGUGCUCCUUUAUGCCUUUUUGAUAUAAGUGUUUGAACUUCCAGAAUACAACAUGUAAAUGAAAUAUGUUAAUUACACUGACCCUGGCGCACAUACAUAUUAGAACAUAUAAAUGUUGAGAAGUCAUUCUGCAGAGCUGUCAGAAAACUUCAGAUCAAGGAUAUUUAAAUACUAGAUAUAAGAAAGUCCUAUGCAAAAAAAAGGUGGGGAAUGGAGGGGGUAGGUUUGCCACCAGCAAUACAAUGCUAAAACCAGUCACUGAAUCUGCAAUUCAGUCAAGGUAACUAGUAUAUAUAUUAGAUGGUUGGCAGAGACUUAUACCAAUGCUGCAUUAUGUUCUAGGACAAAAAAUUGGGAUAAUGCCUUUAUACUACAUUCUUAUAAGAAUAUAGAUCUCAAAGUGUGCCUGUGCUCCAAUAAAAUUUUAUUUGGGAAAAAAAAAAAAAAACCCAAAAAACCCAAAAAACAUGGCGGGGGCUAGAUCUGAUCCACAGCUAUGGUUUGCUAGUUUGUGGCCUACAGGGCAACUAUAUCAACAUAACACAAGUUCACAAAGCUGGACAUGUGGGGGAAAUGUGUUUUAUAGGAAUAGCUAUAGCCUGAUAAAGCUGCUAUGAGGUACCCAUAAGGAGGGGUAGCAAAAAAAUAAACAUGCUCAGCUUCAAACCUGGCAUAGCAGUGGACUAUUAGAACCUAUAGAGGCAGAAAGAACAAUUGGCAUAGAGCAGUGAAAAUAAGACAGGCAAGGUCAAGUGGCAGCAAUAAACACAAGCCUUCUUCUGUAGUUAGAAUAAUUAUGAAUCACAGUAAUAAUGUCAUAGAACUGUAAUUUUAGAUGGAGGUGGCCUUAGAAAUAACCUUGUCCAACUUAGGUAUCAUAUGGAAAGGGAACACAAAGCCCAUAGUGUAGUAAAUUAACAAAGAGAAUUUCAAACCAAGGUAUUUUUGGAGAAUAAGGAUGGGAUUACAUCACCAAACAGUGUCUGUAAUGCAAGUGUCAGAUCUCAGUUGCAAACGAUAAAGCUGUUAUACAGCAUAAAUUAUUUAUAAGUAAAAACAAAAGAGUAGUGAAAUUUUCCAUUUGAUCUGAGCUUAGUAUGCUGAUGUGGUUAAAAUGAGAAACAAGGUCAUAAAGGUAUAGAAAUUCGUCCAAAUAAAUAAUAUACAAAUAUAUAAGAAUACAAAUAAUUACAAAAACACUUAGUGUUUAAUUCAACACAUAUGGGCAAAGAAAAGUAUAUUUUUACAUAAAUCCUCUGGGAACGAAUGUGUUUUACUUCAAACAGUGGGAAUCAGUAUGUAUUGUAGAAAAUCAGGCUAAACUACCUAAAGAGUUAGCUUGUGAGUAAUAUAAAUGUCAUUUAUUCACUCUGAUUAGUUUGAUUAUAUCUUGCACUUUAAAAUAUAAAGAAAAUUAGAAUUUGUGUAUUAAGGUAGUUUGGUGACUAGAAUAAUCAUAGACCACUCAAUUUAAAAUAACUAUGUCAAUGAAACUAGAACACACCCUCAUACCAUGCACGAAAAUAAACUCAAAGUGGCUUAAGACUUAAAUAUAAGACAGGACACCAUCAAACUCCUGGAAGAGAACAUAGGCAAAACACUCUCUGACAUCAACCUUACAAAUGUUUUCUCAGGUCAGUCUCCCAAAGCAACAGAAAUAAAAGCAGAAAUAAACCAAUGGGACCUAAUCAAACUGACAAGCUUUUGCAUGGCAAAGGAAACCAAAAAGAAAACAAAAAGACAACUUACAGAAUGGGAGAAAAUAGUUUCAAAUGAUGCAACCGACAAGGGCUUCAUCUCUAGAAUAUAUAAGCAACUUAUACAACCCAACAGCAAAAAGGCAACAACGCAACUGAAAACUGGGCAAAAGACCUGAAUAGACAUUUCUCCAAGGAAGAGAUACAGAUGGCCAACAAGCACAUGAAAAAAAUGCUCCACAUCACUGAUUAUCAGAGAAAUGCAAAUCAAAACUACCAUGAGACACCACCUCACACCAGUCAGAAUGGCCAUCAUUUUAAAGUCCACAAAUAACAAAUACUCCUGCACUGUUGGUGGGAAUAUAAGCUGGUACAACCACUAUGGAGAAUAGUAUGGAGGUACCUUAGAAAACUAUACAUCGAAUUACCAUAUGACCCCGCAAUCCCACUCUUGGGCAUCUAUCUGGACAAAACUCUACUUAAAAGAGACACAUUCACCCGCGUGUUCAUUGCAGCACUAUUCACAAUAGCCAAGACAUGGAAACAACCCAAAUGUCCAUCAACAGAUGAAUGGAUUUGGAAGAUGUAUAUAUAUGUACAAUAGAAUACUAUUCAGCCAUUAAAAAAGAACAAAAUAAUGCCAUUUUCAGCAACAUGGAUGCAACUAGAGACUCUCAUCCUGAGUGAAGUAAGUCAGAAAGAGAAAGACAAAUACCAUAUGAUAUCACUUAUAUCUGGAAUAUAAUAUAUGGCACAAAUGAGACUUUCCACAGAAAAGAAAAUCAUGGACUUGAAGAACAGACUUGUGGUUGCUUAGGGGGAGGGAGAGGGGGAGGGAGUGGGCUGGAUUGGGAGCUUGGGGUUAAUAGAUGCAAACUAUUGCCUUUGGAAUUGAUUAGCAAUGAGAUCCUGCUGUGUAGCACUGGGAACUAUGUCUAGUCACUUAUAGUGGAGCAUGAUAAUGUAAGAAAAAAGAAUGCAUACAUGUAUGUGUAACUGAGUCACCAUGCCGUACAGUAGAAAAAAAACAAAAUAAUGUAUUGAGGAAACAAAAAAAAAAAAAAAAAGAGAGAGAAAGAUUAAAAAAUGAAAAUAAAUAAAAAGCACUAUGCAAAAUAAAAUAAAAUAACUAUGAAAAGAGUUCCUGUCACGGUUCAGUGGUAACAAAUCUGACUAGAGUAUCCAUGAGGAUGCAGGUUCGAUCCCCGUCCUCACUCAGUGGGUUAAGGAUCCUGGCAUUGCUGUGGCUGUGGCGUAGGCCGCUGGCUAUAGCUCUAAUUCGACCCCUAGCC
Molecule: long non-coding RNA, 5897 nt
Filed under: Sus scrofa (pig)
Lineage: Eukaryota; Metazoa; Chordata; Mammalia; Artiodactyla; Suidae
Description: lncRNA (ENSSSCG00005035641.1)
Source: RNAcentral